CAAAGGAGCGAUCCGGUGGCGGAUGGGCAUGCGGCGCAUUAGCUAGACGGCGGGGUGACGGCCCACCGUGGCGACGAUGCGUAGGGGUUCUGAGAGGAAGGCCCCCCACACUGGGACUGAGACACGGCCCAGACUCCUACGGGAGGCAGCAGUGAGGAAUAUUGGUCAAUGGGCGGAAGCCUGAACCAGCCAAGUCGCGUGAGGGAUUAAGGCCCUGCGGGUCGUAAACCUCUUUUGCCGGGGAGCAGUGGUCCGGACGCGUCCGGGCCGGGAGAGUACCCGGAGAAAAAGCAUCGGCUAACUCCGUGCCAGCAGCCGCGGUAAUACGGAGGAUGCGAGUGUUAUCCGGAUUUAUUGGGUUUAAAGGGUGCGUAGGCGGGCAUUUAAGCCGGCGGUCAAAUGUCGGGGCUCAACCCCGGCCUGCCGUCGGAACUGGGUGCCUUGAGUGGGCGAGAAGUAUGCGGAAUGCGUGGUGUAGCGGUGAAAUGCAUAGAUAUCACGCAGAACCCCGAUUGCGAAGGCAGCAUACCGGCGCCCGACUGACGCUGAGGCACGAAAGUGCGGGUAUCGAACAGGAUUAGAUACCCUGGUAGUCCGCACAGUAAACGAUGGAUGCUAUCUGUCCGGGCCGAAUGAGGCCUGG
RNAcentral lists this ribosomal RNA (643 nucleotides) under uncultured bacterium. RNAcentral describes it as "bacterial SSU rRNA". It matches the Rfam family "Bacterial small subunit ribosomal RNA", at positions 202 to 842 of the family's 1533-position model. The record is from RNAcentral.